RNAcentral lists this unclassified non-coding RNA (237 nucleotides) under uncultured Borrelia sp. RNAcentral's name for it is "partial 5S-23S ribosomal RNA intergenic spacer". Lineage: Bacteria; Pseudomonadati; Spirochaetota; Spirochaetia; Spirochaetales; Borreliaceae. The record is from RNAcentral.
GAGUUCGCGGGAGAGUAAGUUAUUGCCAGGGUUUUUAUUUUAUACUUUAAACCUUGAAUUUAUUUUUUAAAUGUUUAUAUUAUUUGAAUAAAACAUUCAAAUAAUAUAAAAAAUAAUAUAUAUAUUGACAUGGAUUAAACAAAGAUAUAUAUUAUUUUAUGUUGUAUAAACAAAUUGGCAACAUAGAGAUGGAAGAUAAAAAUAUGGUCAACGUAAUAAGAGUCUAUGGUGAAUGCC